CAACGUUCUCAGGGCGGGGCGUAAUUCCCCACCGGCGGUAAUGAUGCGCAAUGCAUCUAGCCCGCGAGCGCUUGAGGGUUGGCAACCACGGUUGACGAUUCGCAAGGUCAGCAGACCCGGUGUGAUUCCGGGGCCGACGGUCAUAGUCCGGAUGAAGAGAGAGCGGGA
RNAcentral lists this non-coding RNA (168 nucleotides) under Pseudomonas floridensis. RNAcentral's name for it is "FMN sequence". It matches the Rfam family "FMN riboswitch aptamer (RFN element)". Rfam says of the family: The RFN element is a highly conserved domain that is found frequently in the 5'-untranslated regions of prokaryotic mRNAs that encode for flavin mononucleotide (FMN) biosynthesis and transport proteins. This element is a metabolite-dependent riboswitch that directly binds FMN in the absence of proteins. Lineage: Bacteria; Pseudomonadati; Pseudomonadota; Gammaproteobacteria; Pseudomonadales; Pseudomonadaceae. The record is from RNAcentral.